RNAcentral lists this long non-coding RNA (261 nucleotides) under Gallus gallus (chicken). RNAcentral describes it as "long non-coding RNA NONGGAT009492". The record is from RNAcentral. Lineage: Eukaryota; Metazoa; Chordata; Aves; Galliformes; Phasianidae.
CGAAGCUUAUGUGGUUUGCAGGCAGCUGGGCUGUGGGACACCACGCUCUGCCUCAAACUCUUCCCAGUUUGGGGAAGGACCUCAUCUGACCUGGGUUGAUGCUGUGGAGUGCACAGGGAUGGAGCGAGCCCUCUUUGAAUGCAAAGUCAAGCUCUGGGGAGCCCAGAACUGCAAGUCCAAGGGAUAUGCGAGUGUCGUGUGCUCUGAGGCUGUAGACAUAGACCUACGGAGCCCAGAAGCCAUACGGCUGGUGAAUGGCCC